RNAcentral lists this ribosomal RNA (460 nucleotides) under uncultured bacterium. Its description in RNAcentral is "partial 16S ribosomal RNA". It matches the Rfam family "Bacterial small subunit ribosomal RNA", at positions 338 to 795 of the family's 1533-position model. The record is from RNAcentral.
CCUACGGGCGGCAGCAGUGAGGAAUAUUGGUCAAUGGGCGCGAGCCUGAACCAGCCAAGCAGCGUGAAGGAUGACUGCCCUACGGGUUGUAAACUUCUUUUAUAAAGGAAUAAAGUGAGGCACGUGUGCCUUUUUGUAUGUACUUUACGAAUAAGGAUAGGCUAACUACGCGCCAGAAGCCGCGGUAAUACGGAGGAUCCGAGCGUUAUCCGGAUUUAUUGGGUUUAAAGGGAGCGUAGAUGGGUUGUUAAGUCAGUUGUGAAAGUUUGAGGCUCAACCGUAAAAUUGCAAUUGAUACUGGCAGCCUUGAGUACAGUUGAGGUAGGCGGAAUUCGUGGUGUAGCGGUGAAAUGCUUAGAUAUCACGAAGAACUCCGAUUGCGAAGGCAGCCUACUAGACUGCCACUGACAUUGAUGCUCGAAAGUGUGGGUAUCAAACAGGAUUAGAUACCCCAGUAGUC